CUGACUCGCAGGUUCUGCAAACAGGAGGGUAAAUUAAGACGUCGCUGAUUCCUCGAACAGCUAAACCAACAUUGUGAACAGCCGCGCUGCUCCCCUACUGUCCUCUGCUGCCACACAGCCACAGACCAGAAGCACAAAUGAGGUCAAAUCCACGACACGGCAGAACGAGGAGAAACCUCUGAGGAUUAACGUCUCAACACUCGACUCCAGGUCCCACCAGAAGACUGUCAGACGCAUUAAAUAAGCAAUUACUGUGAGAGCAUAUUAGUGAACUUGUGGGGAAGUGUGCGUGAGGCGGACUGAACUCACUGGCGAGGAUCUGGAAGGUUCCGGUGAGGAAGAAGCGUCCGCCCUUCUGCAAAGUGAAGAGCUGGAUGAAGAAGAGGAAGAGGGACAGGCAGCUGAAGAUGAUGGACAGGAUCAUGAGAGCCUGGACCGCCUGGAUCCACUCUGCAGAGGGGAGGAAGGAGGAGUGCACCACAUACAGGAAACCAUGGCAGAGACUUCCUGCUGUUGACUUGCUCCUGAGGGUUCAAGUCAAACACAAUGCUGUUUGCUCAGCAGCGAGAGCUCCUCAGCUCGCCGUGACCUACAGUGCGGUUGUAAAACAUCACACCUAAAUCAAAGUGCAAGUUACACACACCCUACUCGGAGGGGUUUAUCUCUAUGGUCACUCCCUCCCACCCGGCAGGAAUCUAGUAAAAACUAAUUUGUGGAGA
Molecule: long non-coding RNA, 719 nt
Organism: Acanthopagrus latus (yellowfin seabream)
Lineage: Eukaryota; Metazoa; Chordata; Actinopteri; Spariformes; Sparidae
Exons: 4
Source: RefSeq, a predicted model, not a curated record